Molecule: small RNA, 2204 nt
Filed under: Pongo abelii (Sumatran orangutan)
Lineage: Eukaryota; Metazoa; Chordata; Mammalia; Primates; Hominidae
Description: retained intron
Source: RNAcentral
AGAGACUUGAGCAUGUUUAUAUUCUAUAGGGAAAGAGCCAGGGGAGGGGGAGAGGUUGAAGAAUACAGAAGAGGAGAGAUCCCUGAAGGGGCACCAGGCCAUGAUCUGUCUUCCUAAGAGCCUGCUUCUGCCUGGCCCUGUCUUGUUACCCAGAAUGACCGUCUUUCCCUGGCAGGGAAAUAGACAGGAAUGAGGAGUCUGGGGGAGUGAGGACAAGCAGGCCAGUUCCCAAGUAAGAGAAAUCCAGAGGGAAGGCACCUGAAGGCCAGUAGAAUUGCCUUCUGAUUGGCUGUUCCUCCAGACAGGCAGCCACAGGACUGCUUUGGGAUUUCUAGUCAUGGUAAGGGAACAUGAUAAUCCACUCAAGAUGGUAACUGAAGUCUCGACACUUCCCCCUUCUCUUACUCCUGAUGACCUCUCACCCAAACGGAUAGAGGAAAAGCUGAACCAUAACAUUCCUUUGCAGUUCUCCUCUGGUUUGAAAGUAAAAUCAGACCACUCCUUAUUUUUAACAUUCUCAGCAAGUCUGUAGACAAACGUUUCUGACAUCUCCAGGAGAAUGCAUCUCUCAGCACAUCCUGGGAUCUCCUCCAUAUCGAAGCAGAGUCCCCAUAAUUAGUGGACUCCCAUGGUUUCAAAGGCAUCUUCUGCAAAUUGAAGAUGAGCUAGGACAGGUGAACACUUUUACUUCAAAAUGACUUCCGGCAGCCUGAGAUGUAAGACCAGUCAGAACCCAGACACAGCCCUUCCUCAUUUUAGUCUCUCCAGAAUUUUUCCCUGAAACCCUUGGCAACCAGCAUUCCAUUCCAGAGCCUCUGCCUCUACACAGAAACUGCAGCCUCCUGGGUAGCCUGUGUGCUGUUCACACUUGACAGCAGCUUCUCUGAGAAAACUGCCACUUUGAUUCACCGGAAGGCUCCCUGGAAACCUGAAAAGGGUCGAAGGAGGCAUUGUACUGUGGCCGUGGGCUCCUGUGUACUGCCACACUACCCUUUGGGUUUAUUGGCGUUUCUGUCUUCCAAAGCCCAGGACACAGUUUAUCCCUCCUCUGCAGCUGGUGUGCAUAAGCAGCCAUACCCUUUUGGUUUUAAUGAGGUUACUGUUGCAACUCCCUGGAGGACAUAGUGUUAGAGUGCUACUGACAUAUAUUAUGACAGGGUCAGAAUCUCUUGGCAUGAUCUUGAGGAUUUCCUCAUGCUUUGCCUGCCUUGAUACCUCUCAUUAGCUCCUUCUCUAAGUCUCCUUGAGAUAGUUCUGGAAGCCUUUGUGCUAUGACCUGUGUUCCUAAGGGCAUGCAUCUGCCUGGCCCUGUCGUGUUACCCAGAAUGAUCAUCAUUUCUCUGCAGUAGUCAGGGACGAGUCUGGAGGAGUGAGGACAAGUAGGCCAGUUCCCAGGUGAGAAGUCUGUGGAGGGCAGAGGGCAGUGUGUCCCAUUUCUAAUCCCUGCUCCCCCUCACCCAGAUUAUGCUGCUGAUGAGAGCUGUGCGCCCCGAGGGUACCUGGCAGCCACAAUGCAGUUUGUCCCUGGCCAUUUCUCCUGUGACGUUGUGUGGGGAACUGUGAUCCGAGUCCAUUCACGCCUCAAAAUGGGGCCCAGCAUGGGGGUCUCUCGGGGUAUGUGAUUGGCAUGAGAGGGCAGGUGAGCAUUGGAAGGAUCUGGAAAAGGCAGCUUCCUGAGCCCAUGUUAUUCCCCCAGCCAUCCAGGCCCUGCGCUCUGUGCUCAAUGCCUUCUCUGUGGUGAACCGGAAAAACAUGUUUGUUUACCAGGAGCGAGCAACGAAGGCUGUGUACUAUCUUCGGUACGUGGCCCUUGGAAGGUGGGUAGGGCAUGAAUUAAGAAUGGCAUGGGAGGAGGCAUGUCCAAAGACAUGCUGCUCUUUCCCAGGCUCCUAGAGACAUCCUGCAGUGACCGGCCAUGGAAAGGGGAUGCGCUGCCCCCUUCCCUCGCUCUGUCCCGAAGCCAAGAGCCCAUCUACUCUGAGGAAGCCUCGGCAUGUAUCACUCCCACUCUCUGAUGCCCCUGUGUGUGCCCCUUGCACUUUGCUCUCUGGAGCUGGGGCUCUGACCACAGUUUUCCCUGUAGGGUCCUCGUUCUCCCUUAGACAUGGCCUCUAGCCGCAGUUCAGAUGCUGCUCGUCCUGUGGGCCAAGUGGACAGACAUAUCCAGCUGCUGGUCCAUGGUGUUGGGCAGGCAGGUAAGGUCU